Molecule: long non-coding RNA, 459 nt
Organism: Magallana angulata
Lineage: Eukaryota; Metazoa; Mollusca; Bivalvia; Ostreida; Ostreidae
Exons: 4
Source: RefSeq, a predicted model, not a curated record
UUCGACAUUAGACGCAUCUUCCGUGAUUUAUGGUCGGUAGUUUGGUGAUUUUGAGGGAGAAAAUGAUUCAUAUACAACUGUCGUUCUUACGUCUUAUCAGAUAAGUCGCCAGGGUGAAAUGUUUUCAAUUAUUCCCGAAGUCGAUUAAAAUUUCAUCUUGGAGAUACAUUUUCCUUCAACUCCCCGUCGGGAAGGAGUUCUUGACCUGAGAGAUGUAGUAGGAAAAAGACUCCAACCCUGGACCAUGGAAAAAUAAUAGGCGGAAGUGUAACCUGGAGACAGUUACAUUGUUACUGCGGACCUCGCUUUGGGCCACUGGCAGUCAGCGAGAUCUUAUAAAGAUGUUUCAAGUUAAAGAAGCCACCUCCAGCACACCAAACGUUAACGCUACAGAACACCCACAAAUACUCCGAAUAACAAGAUACCAAGAGGAUUCUGAUAUAAAAUCGGGUAACUGAU